UACGAAGGGGGCUAGCGUUGCUCGGAAUCACUGGGCGUAAAGCGCACGUAGGCGGAUUGCUAAGUCAGGGGUGAAAUCCUGGAGCUCAACUCCAGAACUGCCUUUGAUACUGGCGACCUUGAGUCCGGGAGAGGUGAGUGGAACUGCGAGUGUAGAGGUGAAAUUCGCAGAUAUUCGCAAGAACACCAGUGGCGAAGGCGGCUCACUGGCCCGGUACUGACGCUGAGGUGCGAAAGCGUGGGGAGCAAACAGG
This 253-nucleotide ribosomal RNA is filed under the name uncultured bacterium. Its description in RNAcentral is "partial 16S ribosomal RNA". It matches the Rfam family "Bacterial small subunit ribosomal RNA", at positions 524 to 776 of the family's 1533-position model. The record is from RNAcentral.